AUUGUUGAUUUCUUCUCUUAAGCCGGAGCUCGGCUUCAGGAGUACUUUUCAAAAUAUCAUGUAUUUUGCUAACUCUAUAUAACUCCAUGUGUCAUUUCAUCCAGAAAACUUGUUUCUAAUGCUUUUUUCUCUGGACUCUAAGCUGGUUGAUGCCACCAGGCCUUGGGAAAAAGCCUGCCUUCUGAUAGGAUUGCUAUUGAGUAGCAAAAAUUCUUGGAUUCUGAUAACAUCUUUCAUGCAGAAACUCAAAGCAUCUCCCAAAUUAUAAGCCCAUUCUUUUACACUGUUCUACACUCUCACACUCUAGGAACAACUCAUUUCAAUCUUGGGACAUUGACCAGAAUUCAGGGAAACUAGCAUGAUCCUUCCAGUCUGACGUUUCAUUCCAUCUACUGUCCAAAGCUGUGUCUACAAGGCAUCACCUAUGAGACAAUAAAACAAACCCUCUGAAAUCAGGAAAUUUGCCAGAAGAUGGCGAGCUGGGAAGAAAUAAAACCAGGAUUUGAGCCAGGUGAGUUUGCCUCCGGAGUCCAAGACUUUCCCACUGGCUCUUCCCUCUUCUUUCUUCUGUGUCAUAUUGGCUCUCUUCUGCUGCUGCCUAAGCAAAGGAUUAGCAUUUAACAGGGAUUGGGAGGGAUGCCAAGAUGAGAACACCACCAAGAGGAGAGAACAGAGCUGCUUGCCCAAGGACUCUCCCAUAUGCCAAGUCAGCUCAAUGAGCUGGGAGGCAGAGUGUGCAAUGGAAAAGCAACAGGUCUUCAACACUAAGCAACAUACAAAUUCCAUCUCCACUAUUACUGAGUGGUUUCUACUGCCAGGAUCGGUGUGGUUGCAUGUGACAUCAGACUCCUAGGAGACCACAUCAUCUAUGGAUUACAGCCUCUCCACUAAAUCACUACCUUUCUCCAAAGUGUAUGUUCCUGACUCCUGGUCUACACUCCAAGUCUAUCUUAGAGCUGAACCCUUUUCUGCAACCAAGGCUGGUUAUCAGAUGGCCCUGACCCUCUUCUCCGAGUCCUGAUGGGCCUGAGAAGUCUUCAUGGUAGCAUCUGACCACCAAUCUACUUCGUUUUCAUUUUUGGUCAAGAUUAGAACUGUGCUUUCCAUGUCUUGAACUUCCUGAUUUAGACUGCAGAUUAUUCUUAGUUUCCUCCAACCUUGCUCCUAUAGCAGUAGCUUACUCCAGUCUAGCAAGAAACUACCAGCCUGUGACAUGGCUGUGGCUCCAAGAUCAUUUCACAGGUAGCCCUAGGGCACUUGCUAGCUUCACUGGGCAUUAAAAGGGGCUUGAACUCA
Molecule: long non-coding RNA, 1296 nt
Organism: Homo sapiens (human)
Lineage: Eukaryota; Metazoa; Chordata; Mammalia; Primates; Hominidae
Source: Ensembl